UACGUUCUCAACACCAUCACUGCCUACAUUCUCAUAGAUAGCAUCGGAAGACCAUCGCCGUUUGCGUUCUCAAGAUAGUUGCUCCAGGGUUGAAAUAGCACCCGCACGCCAAACGCUAACCACCGGUGAACAAGCACCAAAGGUCUUUGAUCGAGAGUAUUGAUGCCGAGGUUGCAUAUUGUCACGCCUACCGGGAAAGAAAUCACGUAGCUGAUUGGUUUGUGAAUUUCGCUUAUUCCAAUGAUUUGUAUCUUUUCCUCUUUUCACAUUUCUUUA
Molecule: non-coding RNA, 276 nt
Organism: Nelumbo nucifera (sacred lotus)
Lineage: Eukaryota; Viridiplantae; Streptophyta; Magnoliopsida; Proteales; Nelumbonaceae
Source: RefSeq, a predicted model, not a curated record